Molecule: long non-coding RNA, 656 nt
Filed under: Homo sapiens (human)
Lineage: Eukaryota; Metazoa; Chordata; Mammalia; Primates; Hominidae
Description: HSALNT0157234
Source: RNAcentral
CUUUUUUUUAAUGCUCUACCGUGUGUCUUAGUUUAAUUUCAAAGUAAGUCCAAUAAAUACACAAAAUCACAGGACUGAGCAUUGAGCAUUGUUUCCCUUUGUGUCCUCCAGCCUUUAGGACACAUUAAGGAAAGACAUGAUUCCAGGAUUCCCAUUAGAAAGGCUGCCCUGAGGCACCUGCUGGGGCUGCCAAGUCGCAGCUGUUGAUGCUGCCCCCAAGCUGCUUGGAUGAAGCGGAAGAUUCCAGAAGUCUCUUCUCCUCCACCCCUCGCCCAGGAGAGAUGCGCAAAGCAUAAAUCAUCACAGAGGAAUGAUUCUGUGUUGGAAUAUUCAGUGCACAGAGAGGUGCAUUCUGACAGGCGUGAGACAUUGUCACCCUUCCCAGGGAGCCAGUGAGGUGGCUGCACGGAGCACGCGUGUGAAGAUUCAGGAGCACGAGCAUCAGGUGACAGGAGGGGGCACGGAGGCAGCACCAGAUGGAUGUGUGCCGAGGGGAUGCUGCAGCCGGGCUGGCGAGGGAGGUCACAGGAACGGGCGCAGGCAUCUCCCUCCAGCCGCACUUGACAGGAGGGGGCACAGAGGCAGCACCAGACGGAUGCCUGCCAAGGGGACGCUGCAGCCGUGCUGGCGAGGGAGGUCACGGGAAUGGGCACAGG